GUUUGGGAAAUUCCGUUAUAGACGAGGAGGAGAGAGGUGUUACUGAUGAGCAUAACCCUGUUGUUGAAUCCGAUUGUCCCGGUAUGCAGCGAGUUAUGCCUGUUGCCCAAUUGUCCAUGGAUGACGAUGUUUUUGAGGAUUUAAUGCGUGAUGAGGGACUGAUGAGUGGUGAAACGGGAGAUGGCAAGUUUUCAGCUAUUGCUAGUGCACCUAGAGUCAAAGUGUCGGCUGCUG
RNAcentral lists this unclassified non-coding RNA (234 nucleotides) under Hevea brasiliensis (rubber tree). Lineage: Eukaryota; Viridiplantae; Streptophyta; Magnoliopsida; Malpighiales; Euphorbiaceae. The record is from RNAcentral.